GCCAGCCCGCUCAGAACUCAAAGGAAUUGACGGGGGCCCGCACAAGCGGUGGAGUAUGUGGUUUAAUUCGAUGCAACGCGAAGAACCUUACCUGGUCUUGACAUCCCGGAGACCCUUAGGAAACUAGGGGGUGCUUCCAUCUGGAAGAAUCUGGAGACAGGUGCUGCAUGGCUGUCGUCAGCUCGUGUCGUGAGAUGUUGGGUUAAGUCCCGCAACGAGCGCAACCCUUGCCUUUAGUUGCCAGCAGUUCGGCUGGGCACUCUAAAGGGACUGCCGGUGUUAAACCGGAGGAAGGUGGGGAUGACGUCAAGUCCUCAUGGCCUUUAUGACCAGGGCUACACACGUACUACAAUGGCCGAUACAAAGGGCAGCGACACUGCGAGGUGAAGCCAAUCCCGUAAAAUCGGUCUCAGUCCGGAUUGGAGUCUGCAACUCGACUCCAUGAAGUUGGAAUCGCUAGUAAUCGUGGAUCAGCAUGCCACGGUGAAUACGUUCCCGGGCCUU
This 504-nucleotide ribosomal RNA is filed under the name uncultured Desulfobulbus sp. RNAcentral's name for it is "bacterial SSU rRNA". It matches the Rfam family "Bacterial small subunit ribosomal RNA", at positions 882 to 1382 of the family's 1533-position model. The record is from RNAcentral. Lineage: Bacteria; Pseudomonadati; Thermodesulfobacteriota; Desulfobulbia; Desulfobulbales; Desulfobulbaceae.